AGCUUGCUCCUUUGACGUUAGCGGCGGACGGGUGAGUAACACGUGGGUAACCUACCUAUAAGACUGGGAUAACUUCGGGAAACCGGAGCUAAUACCGGAUAAUAUUUCGAACCGCAUGGUUCGAUAGUGAAAGAUGGUUUUGCUAUCACUUAUAGAUGGACCCGCGCCGUAUUAGCUAGUUGGUAAGGUAACGGCUUACCAAGGCGACGAUACGUAGCCGACCUGAGAGGGUGAUCGGCCACACUGGAACUGAGACACGGUCCAGACUCCUACGGGAGGCAGCAGUAGGGAAUCUUCCGCAAUGGGCGAAAGCCUGACGGAGCAACGCCGCGUGAGUGAUGAAGGUCUUCGGAUCGUAAAACUCUGUUAUUAGGGAAGAACAUACGUGUAAGUAACUAUGCACGUCUUGACGGUACCUAAUCAGAAAGCCACGGCUAACUACGUGCCAGCAGCCGCGGUAAUACGUAGGUGGCAAGCGUUAUCCGGAAUUAUUGGGCGUAAAGCGCGCGUAGGCGG
This 516-nucleotide ribosomal RNA is filed under the name Staphylococcus sp. RNAcentral's name for it is "bacterial SSU rRNA". It matches the Rfam family "Bacterial small subunit ribosomal RNA", at positions 77 to 578 of the family's 1533-position model. The record is from RNAcentral. Lineage: Bacteria; Bacillati; Bacillota; Bacilli; Caryophanales; Staphylococcaceae.